RNAcentral lists this unclassified non-coding RNA (253 nucleotides) under uncultured Planctomycetota bacterium. RNAcentral's name for it is "uncultured planctomycete contains 16S-23S intergenic spacer region". It matches the Rfam family "Bacterial small subunit ribosomal RNA", at positions 524 to 776 of the family's 1533-position model. Lineage: Bacteria; Pseudomonadati; Planctomycetota. The record is from RNAcentral.
GACGGAGGGUGCGAGCGUUAUUCGGAUUCACUGGGCUUAAAGGGCACGUAGGCGGCUGCAUGGGUCCGUGGUGAAAGCCCUCGGCUUAACCGAGGAACGGCUGCGGAAACUAUGCGGCUUGAGGAUGGGAGAGGUAAGCGGAAUUCCCGGUGUAGCGGUGAAAUGCGUAGAUAUCGGGAGGAACGCCGGUGGCGAAGGCGGCUUACUGGUCCAUCCCUGACGCUGAGGUGCGAAAGCCAGGGGAGCAAACGGG